ACGCUGGGCCGGGAAAUGGACGGUGGACGGACAUUAGGAUGCCGGCCUCUUCUUCGUUCCAUAUAGCAGCUAGCUCCGGCAGAAGCCUUCGCUCCACGCAAAAGGAACAAAACAAGAGCAGAACACGAAGACAUCACAUGGUUCACAUCAGCGGUGUUUCUUUCUCCUCCACCAGAGUCCAGAGAACGCUUGAGAAUCCUUCCGCAGUAGGCACAGAAACCCGAGUUCCACCGCUUCUAGACUCUAAAAAGCACCUAGAAGCCCGGUCACCGGAGAAACUCGGCGCGGGACGCCGUCGACAGCUCCCUGCGCAGCUUGCACGAGAAGAGGCGGCACGCGUCCAUGCUGAGGUCGACGGCGGCGGCGAGGGCGACGAAGGCCGCGGCGUCCUCGGCGCACCCGACGUGCGCGACGCCCACCUCCACGGUGGGCCUGCUGCAGCGGCCUUCCCCCUGGACCGCCGCCGACAUCACGAAGCCGCCGAAGGGCCAGAUGCCGUGGCCCAUGUCGCCGCUGCUGCUGCACCAGAACGGCUGCGCCGCCGCCGUGAGGUCGAUGGCGAAGCGCCCGCCGCGGGAGGCCGGGACGCUGGCCUCGGCGACGCAGACGCCGGCGCCCCCCGUGGCGUGGCCGGGCACCAGCUCGAAGCGGUAGCCGAGGGUGUCGCCGCGCCCGCGCCAGCACUCGAGGCGGCCCCACGGCGCCCAGGUCCCGUCCGCGGGGCGCAGGAUGAGCCAGGCGCCCGGGCUGGACCGGCUCACGUGGUCCGUACCCGGGGACGCCACGAACGGCGUCACCAUCGACGCCAGCGCCACCGGCGACCCCGACAGGUCGUGCACCGUCACCGACCACCCCUUGCGCUCCUUCCCCGCGCGCUCGCGCUCCGACCCCAGCUUCGCCAGCCAGUUGCGCGCGCCCGGAUCAGACUGCACGGACCUAGAUGGAUGGAUGGAUGGAUAGGAUCAUAUCAUAUCGAUGAAGAAAUGGAUGCAUGCAGUGGGGAUUGCUAUACUGACUGACCGCGAGCGCAGGUCGCUGCUGCUGCGGCAGGAGAACCUGCACGUGAACAUGGGCUGCUUCAUGCUGCCCUUCACCUGGAGCACCUGCGGGCUGCACUCGGGCUCGCCGUCGAACUGGAACACGAACCUGGGGUCAGGCUCGGCGCGGACGGUGAUGCUGAGCUGCGCGCGCGCGGAGGAGGAGGCCGCCGCCGCCGCCUUGCCGCGGCGGCUGCCGACGGCGACCCAGCCGCUGUGGAAUACGACGGGCUUGGCCAUGGCAGCCCUGAGGUCGAGCGGGAGGACGACCUUGCCGAGCAGCCUACCCGACGUGGCGCCGCCGCCGCCGCAGGACGCGCUCACGCCCCCGCCGCGGCCGGCG
RNAcentral lists this unclassified non-coding RNA (1380 nucleotides) under Zea mays. RNAcentral's name for it is "misc RNA Zm00001eb117780". The record is from RNAcentral. Lineage: Eukaryota; Viridiplantae; Streptophyta; Magnoliopsida; Poales; Poaceae.